CUCAUUCGGAUUGGAGUCUGCAACCCGACUCCAUGAAGCUGGAUUCGCUAGUAAUCGCGCAUCAGCCACGGCGCGGUGAAUACGUUCCCGGGCCUUGUACACACCGCCCGUCAAGCCAUGGAAGCCGGGAGUGCCUGAAGUGCGUGAGCGCAAGCAGCGCCCUAAGGUAAAACCGGUGACUGGGGCUAAGUCGUAACAAGGUACC
RNAcentral lists this ribosomal RNA (205 nucleotides) under uncultured bacterium. Its description in RNAcentral is "partial 16S ribosomal RNA". It matches the Rfam family "Bacterial small subunit ribosomal RNA", at positions 1288 to 1500 of the family's 1533-position model. The record is from RNAcentral.